Molecule: ribosomal RNA, 250 nt
Filed under: uncultured prokaryote
Description: partial 16S ribosomal RNA
Rfam family: Bacterial small subunit ribosomal RNA
Source: RNAcentral
UACGUAGGGGGCGAGCGUUGUCCGGAAUGACUGGGCGUAAAGGGCGUGUAGGCGGCGGUGUAAGUCUGGAGUGAAAGUCCCGCAUUCAAUGUGGGAAUUGCUUUGGAUACUGCAGUGCUAGAGUGCGGAAGAGGUAAGUGGAAUUCCCAGUGUAGCGGUGAAAUGCGUAGGGAUUGGGAGGAACACCAGUGGCGAAGGCGACUUACUGGGCCGUAACUGACGCUGAGGCGCGAAAGCGUGGGGAGCGAAC